Molecule: non-coding RNA, 1090 nt
Organism: Cricetulus griseus (Chinese hamster)
Lineage: Eukaryota; Metazoa; Chordata; Mammalia; Rodentia; Cricetidae
Source: RefSeq, a predicted model, not a curated record
AAGGCAGGAGAAUGAGACAGCUCCAGGAUUAUACACAGAGAUAUGAGAAGACUGGCUGGAUGAAUUCCAGUCUACUCUAGAAUAGUGGAAAGAAAGGGUGGCUAAGUGGCUAUAGGCCAUAGAGUGGACUUGGAAACUUCAGCCAGAGAAUUUAGAUCUGAUGUUUGAGAAAAAAUAUUGCAAGGUUUUUAAGCCAGAGAGACAUGUUUAUAAAGGAGAGUGGUGUAGAGACUCCUGAGGGAUUUUUCCUGGUUUAGACACUCUAAUCCUCACAUGGUAGGGCCUCCUAAAUGCUGACCCAGUGGGGGUGUGGUUUGGCAUUCUUGCUGCAGGAGGCCUGUAUUUCUGCCCAGUGACUCUUCCUGCUCUGUCAUUGACUCAUCCCAGUGGCCGGCCCUCAUUGCUUCCCUUCUGGUCACCCUGUGAUCACAGAACUCCAGGGCUGCCUGGGAUGAUGGGAACCUGAGCUGCCUAACAGUGGUUAGGAUAUGGGAAUGAACAGCAUUCUCAUUCCUUUGCCCUGUCCUUGAAUAGAGGGAAGUUCAAGUUCAGACUGCUGCAGAUUACUGCUCAUGCUUACGGGGGCUGUCUACCAGAAGGUGUUGGUGGCUCAUGCCUGUAAUCUCAGCACUCAGGAGGCAGAGGCAGGAAGAUCUCCAUGAGCUCAAGGCCAGUCUGAGUUCCAGUACAGCCAGAGCUGUUACACAGAGAAACUGUCUUGCACAUCGCCCCCGCCCACAUCAAAACGAAACAAGUGAAAAUUUGUAUUUGUGGUAGUCCUUUGAAUAUGAGCCUUCCUUUUUACUAAUAGCAGUUGCUAAGUACAGACUACAAAGGGAUGAUGGGAGAAGCAAUGUCUCUGCAGUGGUAGGUGCAUUGGAGUGACUGACUGGGAUCACCAAAAUGACACUCCAUGCCACCCGAGCAGCCACACUCCUUUCUUGGGUGAACAGUCUUCAUGUGGCUGACCCAGUGGAGACGGUGCUGCAGCUCCAGGACUGCAGCAUCUUCAUCAAGAUUAUUAACACCAUGUGAGUAUGAGUACUCCGGAUCCAGCUAGUGGUGGUGGGCUCUGACCAGAAAACUAGGU